GAUGAACGCUGGCGGUGUGCCUAAUACAUGCAAGUCGAGCGAACAGACGAGGAGCUUACUCCUCUGACGUUAGCGGCGGACGGGUGAGUAACACGUGGAUAACCUACCUAUAAGACUGGGAUAACUUCGGGAAACCGGAGCUAAUACCGGAUAACAUGUUGAACCGCAUGGUUCAACAGUGAAAGACGGUCUUGCUGUCACUUAUAGAUGGAUCCGCGUCGCAUUAGCUAGUUGGUAAGGUAACGGCUUACCAAGGCAACGAUGCGUAGCCGACCUGAGAGGGUGAUCGGCCACACUGGAACUGAGACACGGUCCAGACUCCUACGGGAGGCAGCAGUAGGGAAUCUUCAGCAAUGGGCGAAAGCCUGACGGAGCAACGCCGCGUGAGUGAAGAAGGUCUUCGGAUCGUAAAACUCUGUUAUUAGGGAAGAACAAAUGUGUAAGUAACUAUGCACGUCUUGACGGUACCUAAUCAGAAAGCCACGGCUAACUACGUG
Molecule: ribosomal RNA, 497 nt
Filed under: uncultured bacterium
Lineage: Bacteria
Description: partial 16S ribosomal RNA
Rfam family: Bacterial small subunit ribosomal RNA
Source: RNAcentral